Achroia grisella is the source of this 129-nucleotide long non-coding RNA. RefSeq lists it as uncharacterized. Lineage: Eukaryota; Metazoa; Arthropoda; Insecta; Lepidoptera; Pyralidae. The record is from RefSeq and is a predicted model, not a curated record. The transcript has 2 exons.
ACACAUUUCGAGCCUGUGGCUCCAAACGUUAGAAUUUCAGACAUAGAUCACCAAGAUGAUUUAUCAAUUAAUAAUACACUUCAUGAAACUGAUAAUAUUGCUAGAGAAAUGUCAUCACAUUCUUUGUAA